RNAcentral lists this ribosomal RNA (253 nucleotides) under uncultured bacterium. RNAcentral describes it as "partial 16S ribosomal RNA". It matches the Rfam family "Bacterial small subunit ribosomal RNA", at positions 524 to 776 of the family's 1533-position model. The record is from RNAcentral.
UACAGAGGUCUCAAGCGUUGUUCGGAUUCAUUGGGCGUAAAGGGUGCGUAGGUGGCGCUGUAAGUCGGGUGUGAAAUUUCGGAGCUUAACUCCGAAACUGCAUUCGAUACUGCGGUGCUUGAGGACUGGAGAGGAGACUGGAAUUCAUGGUGUAGCAGUGAAAUGCGUAGAGAUCCGGAAGAACACCGGUGGCGAAGGCGGCCUGCUGGGCAGUAGCUGACACUGAGGCGCGACAGCGUGGGGAGCAAACAGG